Molecule: ribosomal RNA, 479 nt
Filed under: uncultured bacterium
Lineage: Bacteria
Description: bacterial SSU rRNA
Rfam family: Bacterial small subunit ribosomal RNA
Source: RNAcentral
GAUGAACGCUAGCGGCAGGCUUAACACAUGCAAGUCGAGGGGCAGCACAAGUAGCAAUACUGGGUGGCGACCGGCGCAAGGGUGCGUAACGCGUGAGCAACAUGCCCGUAUCAGGGGGAUAAUCCAUGGAAACGUGGUCUAAUACCCCAUAGUAAGUUUUUGAGGCAUCUCAAGGAUUUUAAAGCUUUGGUGGAUACGGAUUGGCUCGCGUGACAUUAGCUGGAUGGUAGGGUAACGGCUUACCAUGGCUACGAUGUCUAGGGGUUCUGAGAGGAAGGUCCCCCACACUGGAACUGAGACACGGUCCAGACUCCUACGGGAGGCAGCAGUGAGGAAUAUUGGACAAUGGAUGGAAAUCUGAUCCAGCCAUGCCGCGUGCAGGAAGACGGCCCUAUGGGUUGUAAACUGCUUUUGUAUGGGAGCAAUAAGAUCUACGUGUAGAUUGAUGAGAGUACCAUACGAAUAAGCACCGGCUAACU